Molecule: long non-coding RNA, 3967 nt
Organism: Callithrix jacchus (white-tufted-ear marmoset)
Lineage: Eukaryota; Metazoa; Chordata; Mammalia; Primates; Cebidae
Source: RefSeq, a predicted model, not a curated record
GUAGCCUAGCACAUGCGCAGAGUAGAGAGGUAGCCGGGUACCGGGGCCGCGGGCGGCCAGCUGACGAAUGGGGCUUCGCCACCUGGUCGCGAGAAGCCCGCUUCCGGCUGGCCAUCUUGGGCGUAGAACUCUUGCCCUAGGCUUUGCUGUUAACUAUGACAGACAAGAAUUGGAAAAAAGGAAAGUACCCCUGGGUGGGCCUCCCAGCGACCGCGAAAGUAUCCCCGACCUUGCGCGGGCCCCCGGACACGCGCUUGUGCCUCUGGCAAGGCUAGAGGACCCAGCGGUGAAGCGCCAUUCCGGGCCCUAGGCCGGCGUUCCUUUGUCAACCUGGAAGGCCGGAGCAGCAAAGUCGCCCCCCAAACCCAUCCCCGACCAGAGACGCAGGGCUAGGAGCCAGGGUUCGCACACUGUCGCGGGAAAGAGGCCGAGAAGUCUCCACGAGGAUCCAUGGCCUGGGAGACCCCGGCGGCAUCACUAGGCCCGCUCCGCCCACCCUGACCCGCACCCUCCCGGCCAGCUGCGUCUCGGGCGCCGCCUCCCGUGAGCCGCUCUCGCUUCGACGCCGCCCUGCCCUUCCCACACCACUGUGCUCUGAGUGCCUCGAGGCGCCUCUGGAGGUCGUGGGGGAAGCACGACCGCCCCCAGCCGCCCACGGGGUAGCAUCUAGGGAAAGAAGGACUGGAGGGAAUCCUGCUCGAGCUCACCUGUUUUCCAGGAGGAUAUGCCGCUUUAAUAACUGGCUGCAGGUCCCUUUGAGAAAAGCUUGAGACGGUUUCUGGUGUGCACUUGCAGCCACUGUGCAAGGUCCUUCCCAGGGGAACCUAGCCUCCCUUUCCAUCAUGGGUCUCUGGAUCGCAGCGGUGACUUAGAGAUGGGGCCUUGUUAGGUUGUCCAGACUGGUCUUGAACUGCUGGAGCCAAGUGAUCCUCCCGCCAUAACCCUAACCCUAACCCAGAGUUCUGGGAUUCCAGGCAAGAGCCAAUGUGCCUGGCCGGACUUCACGGUCUCUUACCUGGACCGGGGCGAUGGUCCCACCCAGGCCCUCAGAACUGGGGGGUGAGCUGUUUGCUUAUGGCUCACCCACGAAAAAAGAAACUCCCAGAAGGAAGGGAUUGUGUCUGGAGCGCUCUACCUCCAGGCCCCAGACUGCAGGUAUCCCUUGCCAGCCGAGCUGAGGCCAGCAGGGCAAAGUCCAUUCCUGCCGCCUGGACUGAGGCCUUCGUCCUCUCGAAAGAAGCAAUGCUGAGAAGUGGGCUCAUCCCGUCACGCCACCAGAGUCUCAGGAAGCCAGGGAUGUGGGUGUCAAAUGGUCCCGGAGAUGAUGAUGGGAAACUUCACGUGGAGAAGAAAAUGCCCAAGAAUGAGCGAAGCUGUCUGCAAGGACCCUCGAAGGGAGCUGGCAGGUGCACUAGGUAUGGCGAGAUGCAAACGAGGCUCAUGGCAUUGUUCCCCGGAAGGACCAGCGCAGAGGAGACCGCAGAUGCCUGCACGUUUAGCGGGAGUACGGCAGUGCGAUCAUGGGGGAAAGGCUGUGUGUGACAAAUGGUAUGGAGGAGACCGACAGUGGGAAAGGAGUCGGGCACGGUGGCUCACGCCUGCCAUCCCAGCACUUUGGGAGGCUGAGGUGGGUGGAUUGAUGGAGCCCAGGAGUUGGAGACCAGCCUGGGGAACAUGGUGAAACCCCAUCUCUAGAAAAAAAUUAAAAAUUAGCAGGGCGUGGUGGCACCCACCUGUAGUCCUAGUAAGCUGGGGGGCUGAGGCAAGAGGAUCAAUUCAGCUUGGGAGGUUGAGGCUGCAGUGAGCUCACUGCCCCUUUACACUCCAGCCUGGGCCUCUCUCAGAACAAACAAACAAGCUGGGCGUGGUGGCUCACGCCUGUAAUCCCAGCAGUUUGGGAGGCCGAGGCGGGCGGAUCACUUGAGGUCAGGAGUUCAAGAGCAGCCUGGCCAACAUGGUGAAACCCCGUCUCUACUAAAAAUACAAAAAUCAGCUGGGCGUGGUGGCACGUGCCUGUAGUCCCAGCUACUUCGGAGGAUGAGGUGGGAGAAUUGCUUGAAGCAAGACUCCGUCUCAAAAAUAAAUAAAUAGAAUUGAACAAACACAUGCCAAAUGACACCACGUAUUUCACAAGGAUCUGUAGAAAUGGAAGGUCCUAAGCACCACAGCGCCUUUGGGAGGGAGGGGAACAAGACUAGGAAACCGGGAGAAGGAAACAGCAAAAAGCUACUGUUCUCCCAGCCAAUUUUCAGACACCUAAAAAGUUGUUAGCCGAAACGGUGCUGGUGAGGCUGUGGGUAAACACGGAGGGUACAGCGUGGGGAAGGGACAGUAUCAAAGGUGGGUCUUUCAGGGAGGCAAUUCCCUAGUGUCUAUUACAAUUUUAAAUGCAGGCCACAGAAAGUGGCACACAACUGUAAUCCCAGCAUUUUGAGAGGCCAAGGCGGGAGCAUCGCUUGAGCCCAGGGGUUCAAGACCAGCCUGGGCAACACAGUGAGACCCCAUCUCAACAAAAAGAAGCUUUCUAAAGAAACCAGGGGUGGUGGUGCACACUUGUGGUCCCAGCUGCUCAGGAGGCUGAAGUAGGAAGAUCACUUGAGCCCAGGAGGUUGAGGCAGCGGUGAGCGGUGAUCUAGCCAUUCCACUCCAGUCUGGGCCACAGCCUGAUAACCUGUCUCAAAAAAAAAAAAAAAAAAAAUGUAUGUACAUAUAUCUGGACCCAGCAAUUCCACUCACAGGUAAUUAUCCUAGAGAGAGAUGGAUGCAUGUUCAAGGCUGUGUUCAUAGUAAAUGGAAGGUAGGAAUAAUGAUGCUUUAAAAGCACAUCAAAUCGGGGCCAGGUGCAGUGGCGCACUCCUGUGAUCCCAGCUACUCAUGAGGCUGAGGCAGGAGAAUCCCUUGAACCCGGGAGGCAGAGAUUGCAGUGAGCCGAGAUUGUGCCAUUGCACUCCAUCCAGCCUGGGCAACAAAAGCGAAACGCUGCUCAAAAAAAUUUUUGUUGUUGUUGUUUAAAUAAGAGCACAUCAGGCUGGCCACUGUGGCUCACGCCUGUAAUCCCAGCACUUUGGGAGGCCAAGGUAGGCGGAUCACCUGAGGUCGGCAGUUCGAGACCAGCCUGACCAACAUGGAGAAACCCCAUCUCUACUGAAAAUACAAAAAAAAAAAAAAAUUAACCGGGUGUGGUGGCACGUGCCUGUAAUCCCAGCUACUCAGGAGGCUGAGGCAGGAGAACGGCUUGAACCUGGGAUGCAGAGGUUGCGUUGAGCUGAGAUCGCGCCAUUGCACACUCCAGCCUGGGGGACAAGAGCGAGACUUUGUCUCAAAAAAAAAGUCUGGGCGUAGUGGUUCACACCUGAAAUCCCAGCACGUUGGGAGGCCGAAGUGGGUGGAUCACGAUGUCAGGAAUUCAAGACCAGCCUGGCCAAGAUGGUGAAACCCCAUCUCUAAUAAAAAUACAAAAAUUAGCCAGGCAUGGUGGCAGGCGUCUGUAAUCCCAGCUACUUGGGAGGCUGAAGCAGAGAAUUUCUUGAACCCGGGAGGCGGAGGUUGCGGUGAGCCGAGAUCGCGCCACUGCAUUCCAGCCUGGGCGACAGAGCGAGACUCUGUCUCAAAAAAAAAAAAAAAGUCUAAUUUAUAGGCUGUACGUGGUGGCUCACGCCUGCAAUCCCAGCACUUUGGGAGGCUGAGGCAGGCGCAUCACUUGAGGCCAGGAGUUCCAGAUCAGCCUGACCAACAUGGUGAAACCCCACCUCUACUACAAAUAGAAAAAUUAGCCAGGCGUGGUGGCACACACCUGUAGUCCCAGCUACUAGGGAGGCUGAGGUGGGAGGAUCCCUUGAGCCUGGGAGGCAGAGGUUGUUGCAGUGAGCCGAGAUGGUGCCAUUGCACAGCAGCCUGGGCAACAGAGCAAGACUCUAUCUCAAAAACAAAAUAAAAAGUUGAAAUUAUAAAAAACAACAACCACACA